RNAcentral lists this ribosomal RNA (423 nucleotides) under uncultured Clostridium sp. RNAcentral's name for it is "bacterial SSU rRNA". It matches the Rfam family "Bacterial small subunit ribosomal RNA", at positions 74 to 508 of the family's 1533-position model. Lineage: Bacteria; Bacillati; Bacillota; Clostridia; Eubacteriales; Clostridiaceae. The record is from RNAcentral.
AGCUUGCUCUUAAAGUUGACUGAGUGGGCGGACGGGGUGAGUAAACGCGUGGGGUAAACCCUGCCUCAUACAGGGGGACAACAGUUGGAAACGACUGCUAAUACCGCAUAACAUUUCAGAACCGCAUGGUUUUGAAAUCAAACUUUUUGGGUAUGAGAUGGGCCCGCGUCUGAUUAGCUAGUUGGUAAGGUAACGGCUUACCAAGGCGACGAUCAGUAGCCGGCUUGAGAGAGUGAACGGCCACAUUGGGACUGAGACACGGCCCAAACUCCUACGGGAGGCAGCAGUGGGGAAUAUUGCACAAUGGGGGAAACCCUGAUGCAGCGACGCCGCGUGAGUGAAGAAGUAUUUCGGUAUGUAAAGCUCUAUCAGCAGGGACGAAAAUGACGGUACCUGACUAAGAAGCCCCGGCUAACUACGUGC